AUGACUAUUCUGAGAGUGUGUGUUUGCCAUUGGUGUGGUUCAAGAAGGAUAACAGAUAUGGUGCUUUUUUGCCCUUCAGCUUUUAUCUGUUUUUUUGUAUUAUUUUGCAUGUCAUCUGUGACUGCAGAGAGAACAUUAUUAUGCUCCUCAGAAAGUAUAGAUAUUUGGUACACUUUUGAUGGCCCACUGUAUUACCUGUCAAUGGAUGGUUUCCCUUGCAAACUAGGAGUGGAUAUGUACUCUGUAACUUAUAAAGUAAUCCCAAUGUUCACAAUCACUCGUGUUGGAUUUCAUGCUAUUAUUUAUUACAAAGGUCAGCUGUGGUUGGAUCAUGUGCAGCCAGAUAUUCCUUGUGAAGACCUCAAAUUAUGUUACAUCAUAAAAGGAGAAACACUUCAUGAGACUUUUCCAUUUUAUGUGAAAAAGUUUUUUGGCCCCGAGGGAGAGUAUCAGAUUAUCCUCACCAUAAACGUUGUUGAUGACCUUGAAAACAAACUGCCAAUACAAUUCAAUGUCACUUUAAAUGUGAAAAUCGAUGGCAAUAAGAAAAACAAAUUUUUUCCACAUCUGGAAGGGGUGUAGGACAAGCUUUAUUUAUUUUUCAAGUCAAAAUAUUUAUUCUGUAUUUUCGGUUCAGCUUUCUGACCAGAUCAAGUGAUCAUCACUAGCAAAUCCAUCUCAAAUGACGGAUAUUAACAUUGUUUGUAUGUAUAGUAUUUUGACACCAGGUAGAAUAUUUAAGAACAUUUAGAUUGAGCCAAAUGAUAAAGGCCGCCCCUUUAGCCCAAACAGCAGCCUGUCAAUUAGGAACUUGAUUCUUCUUCCUGGAUGCAUGGCACAUUAUCAGCUGCUGAGUAUUGUCAUUCAUUCCGAACGGCCUCCUGUUUGAAGUUUGGACAGACUGAAAUAGUUAAAGGAGGUUAAAAUAACAGCCUUAUCAACAGUCUCUGCCAUUAGCCGGGAGUAGCUCUCACUUAUUUAUUGUAAAUGUGUGUCUUGUGAGACAUUACCUGAUACUUGAUAACAGAAACACGAGUAACAACAUAAAGUAUAACUUAAAUGUUGUGUGCUAUGCUUAAUGAAUGCAUAUAUUAAUAAUCCGCAAGUAUAUAAAAACAAACAUGCCAAUACAGUGCUUAACAUUAUUUAUUUUAUUUACAAACAUAUCAUUAAUUUAGCAAACAUUCUGUAAAAACAGUAAUAUUGAGAAACUCAAUUACAAUUCAAAAACAGAUUAAAUCUGUUGUAAGUGUUUUAUGUUAUAGAACUUGAAAUUUAAUUGAUU
This 1285-nucleotide long non-coding RNA is filed under the name Carassius auratus (goldfish). RNAcentral describes it as "lncRNA (ENSCARG00000020663.1)". Lineage: Eukaryota; Metazoa; Chordata; Actinopteri; Cypriniformes; Cyprinidae. The record is from RNAcentral.